CAUGUGCACAAGCCCCUGAGUGCACGUGCUUGUGUGUGUGUGCGCGUGGGCGCGCACGUACACACACACACACACACACACACACACAU
This 89-nucleotide microRNA precursor is filed under the name Mus spretus (western wild mouse). RNAcentral's name for it is "predicted gene, 55038 (ENSMSPG00010004649.1)". The record is from RNAcentral. Lineage: Eukaryota; Metazoa; Chordata; Mammalia; Rodentia; Muridae.